RNAcentral lists this ribosomal RNA (266 nucleotides) under uncultured archaeon. Its description in RNAcentral is "partial 16S ribosomal RNA". It matches the Rfam family "Archaeal small subunit ribosomal RNA", at positions 719 to 982 of the family's 1478-position model. The record is from RNAcentral.
ACACGACUACAUUAGAUACCCGUGUAGUCCAGGGUGUAAACGCUGCGGGCUUGGUGUUGGGGGUCCUUAGUGGGCGCCCAGUGCCGGAGAGAAGUUGUUAAGCCUGCUGCUUGGGGAGUAUGUCCGCAAGGAUGAAACUUAAAGGAAUUGGCGGGGGGAGCACCGCAACGGGAGGAGCGUGCGGUUCAAUUGGAUUCAACGCCGAAAAACUCACCAGGAGCGACGGAUAUAUGAAGGUCAAGCUGAUGACUUUACCUGAUUUUCCG